This is a long non-coding RNA of Xiphophorus hellerii (green swordtail), 502 nucleotides long. RefSeq lists it as uncharacterized. Lineage: Eukaryota; Metazoa; Chordata; Actinopteri; Cyprinodontiformes; Poeciliidae. The record is from RefSeq and is a predicted model, not a curated record. The transcript is spliced from 2 exons.
AAAUUAUUGAGUUUUGAAACUCAGAAAUGUAGAAGUUUUUCUAGAAAAUUUCUGCAAUUAAUAGCGUAUUGUGACGGAGGAGCCGUCACGAGCUGGGACUUAGAGUCCGUGUCAGAAUACGCGCACACAUGGUGUCAGGAGUGGGAUUAUGGCAAGCCGGAGAAGAGGAUCUCGUUUGGUGAAGCAAAGAUCUGGUCUUCGAUCACAAUCAAAGAUGGAAGAACAGACGGCGAGGCAGAAUGACGUCACAGAGAUACAGAGUUUAAUUCAAUAGAAAACACCGUAUGAAUUUAACAAGAAACCUCAGAGUAUCCAGAAGCACAUUCUUUACCUGAGACAAAAGAAUUAAAAGAAACAAAGGCGCCUUUGGAGACAGCUGAUGCUUAAAAGCAAAACAGGGCAGUUGUCUGAAUUCUUAUUAUUGAGCAUUCCCUUUUCUAGUGAAGGCGUUUCUCUUUGUUAAUAUAUGCAAAUAGGGCGUACCUCUGUUUUGACCAACCAA